RNAcentral lists this ribosomal RNA (253 nucleotides) under uncultured bacterium. RNAcentral describes it as "partial 16S ribosomal RNA". It matches the Rfam family "Bacterial small subunit ribosomal RNA", at positions 524 to 776 of the family's 1533-position model. The record is from RNAcentral.
UACGAAGGGAGCUAGCGUUGUUCGGAAUCACUGGGCGUAAGGCGCACGUAGGCGGAUGUGUCAGUCAGGGGUGAAAUCCCGGAGCUCAACUUCGGAACUGCCUUUGAUACAGCACGUCUUGAGUCCGAUAGAGGUGGGUGGAAUUCCUAGUGUAGAGGUGAAAUUCGUAGAUAUUAGGAAGAACACCGGUGGCGAAGGCGGCCCACUGGAUCGGUACUGACGCUGAGGUGCGAAAGCGUGGGGAGCAAACAGG